CGUGCCUAACACAUGCAAGUCGAGCGAACCCUUUCGGGGGAGAGCGGCGGACGGGUGAGUAACGCGUGGGUAACCUACCCUGUACACACGGAUAACAUACCGAAAGGUAUACUAAUACGUGAUGACAUAUCGGACAGGCAUCUGUCAGAUAUCAAAGGUCAGCCGGUACAGGAUGGACCCGCGUCUGAUUAGCUAGUUGGUGAGAUAAAAGCUCACCAAGGCGACGAUCAGUAGCCGACCUGAGAGGGUGAUCGGCCACAUUGGAACUGAGACACGGUCCAAACUCCUACGGGAGGCAGCAGUGGGGAAUAUUGCACAAUGGGCGAAAGCCUGAUGCAGCAACGCCGCGUGAGUGAUGAAGGUUUUCGGAUCGUAAAACUCUGUCCUCAAGGAAGAUAAUGACGGUACUUGAGGAGGAAGCCCCGGCUAACUACGUGCCAGCAGCCGCGGUAAUACGUAGGGGGCUAGCGUUAUCCGGAUUUACUGGGCGUAAAGGGUGCGUAGGCGGUCUUUCAAGUCAGAAGUUAAAUUCUACGGCUCAACCGUAGCCAGCUUUUGAAACUGGAAGACUUGAGUGCAGGAGAGGAGAGUAGAAUUCCUAGUGUAGCGGUGAAAUGCGUAGAUAUUAGGAGGAAUACCAGUAGCGAAGGCGGCUCUCUGGACUGUAACUGACGCUGAGGCACGAAAGCGUGGGGAGCGAACAGGAUUAGAUACCCUGGUAGUCCACGCCGUAAACGAUGAGUACUAGGUGUCGGGGGUUACCCCCCUCGGUGCCGCAGCUAACGCAUUAA
RNAcentral lists this ribosomal RNA (791 nucleotides) under Metaclostridioides mangenotii. RNAcentral describes it as "bacterial SSU rRNA". It matches the Rfam family "Bacterial small subunit ribosomal RNA", at positions 43 to 863 of the family's 1533-position model. Lineage: Bacteria; Bacillati; Bacillota; Clostridia; Peptostreptococcales; Peptostreptococcaceae. The record is from RNAcentral.